Xenopus laevis (African clawed frog) is the source of this 2607-nucleotide long non-coding RNA. RefSeq lists it as uncharacterized. NCBI's taxonomy places the organism in Eukaryota, Metazoa, Chordata, Amphibia, Anura, Pipidae. The transcript is spliced from 2 exons. The record is from RefSeq and is a predicted model, not a curated record.
UGCAAAUCUGUUUAUUUUAUUUCUUAGUAGAACUGACCAUCAGAGGUGUAUCCAUCGUGCCCACUAGGUGGAGGCACUGCACUGUGAGAUGCCAUUUUCUCAAAUUCUCAUGGAGGUUGGUGUCUUGGCCUCGUUUCUUUUCUCUUAUCUCCUUCUUCUGUUCUUUAUCUCUUGCUUCUGUUCUUCUAUCUGUGUGUCAUUUGAAAAUAAUGCAAAAUAAAAUCUUAUAAAUCUUACCUGCUGGUUUGCCAGCAGGUAAUGUGCCAGGUCAGUGUUAUCCAAGUGUGUGCAAUGAAACGGUUACAGUACAUUAUAGUUAAGUGCAUUAGAAGCCUUUUUUGGUAUUACUGGCCCUUUAAGAACUUGUAGAAUCUAUGAAAGAUGGGCACUUACAUAAUUAGAUGCCAUAUAAUUUGCUGUUUUUCUGUAAACAGGUAAAAUAUCACUAAUCUAUAAAACAUUAUCACAGCCAAAAUUCUUAAGGUCCGGGUUUGACCCACUCAGCACUACUUGAGGUCUCCAAGGGACCCAAACUGUUGUUUCUGGUAAUAUGUUAUCUGUUUCCAGAAACAACAUUUUGGGCCCUUUGGAGUCCUCAAGUAGUGCUGAGUGGGUCAAACCGGGACCUUAAGAAUUUUGGCUGUGGCAAUGUUUCAUAGAUAUGGUGAACUAGAGGGGACUCAUUUAGAGUACUGGAGCACCAGUUAUUCAUCUGUCUUGUGCAACUAGAAGUGCCUGGUUCAAAAAUAAUAACAUUUCCAACAGAGAUGGUUCACUCUCACUCCCUCUACUAUUGAAUUUUAAACAGAUCUCUUAUCCUUAUUCUUUAAAAUUAAUUACAGGAGUUAUCGAUUAGCAAACUCCUUUUAUCCUUCCUUCUCUUUCACAAGACGUGGGGAAUUUGUGUUAUUUUAGGAAAGAUAGAAUACAAUUCAAGUUAGAAAAGGUACUACUGAGACCACAGUUCCCCACGUUCUGCCUUCUUUACUUGUGGUAAUCCCAGGGUCCAGAUAUCAAAAUGACCAGACAGUAACAAACGGGAUGAUUCCACCACUAUCUCUUUUUUCUUACAAGUGUGAACGUGAUACAAUUCUUGAAUCUGUUGUUACAUUGUAUAUCCAGCCAAUCAACUUAUAAGGUUGAUACAAUUUAUCUUUCACAGGAAGUUCUGUGAACGGAGCUUCUGUUUUUUAACAAUUUUUACCUUAGCUAUUGUGGAAUUUAUGCACUGAAUUAAUUGGUAAUUGGCACAACAAUUUAUUCUAAUUUUUUAGUUAAUUAAAUCCCCUUGGGGUUAUCAUGGUGGUCAAUUAAUUAGCACAAAGCACUUUAGAGGUUCUGUCUCUAUCUUAAUGACCUUGUAUUAAAACAGGUAAUAGGCGAACCAAUUUAAUUCACUAUUAAUAGUAAUUACAAUCAAUGCAUUAGAUUGUUUAAUGAAUUUGAAUUGUGAAUUAAUUUGAUCGUACAAUAUAACUUAGCACAUAUGGGGUUUUACUUUUCUUUUUUUUUUUUUUUUUAAAUUAAUAAAAUAUAGUCAAUUGGUGAUUGUACCCCGCUGUGUCUUUUUUAAGGUGAUAAAUUGCUGAGAAUAUACAACUUUUGUGAUAAUCUCCAACAGAAGUUCAUUUAGAGGAAAACAAAGAGCUGCACAAUUCAGUCCAAAGAAAUGUUGAAAGUGUGCUUUAAUAGUAGACUUUUAGUAGACUUAUUUUUUUUUAUUGAUGUUCCCCUUUUAUUUAUAAAUUAGGAAUUAUUAACUUGUUUCACGGGAAAAAAUACAUGCACUAUCAUGUUUUGCUGUCUCUUUAGAAUACAUGAAAUCAUUCAAGAGCCAAAUGCUAUAUCUUUAGCAGUGCUUUAUGUAGUCAGGUCUGCUAUUGCUUAUAGUCAUCAUAGUCUUCCACAUUUCUCUUUGAAUAAAAAAAAAAACCCAGCAAAUUCUAUUCCAGUUUCAGAGAAAAAGCUCUAAAUUAGCAUUGCAUUGUAGGGUUAGACUUUUACACUCAUAUACAAGUCAUAUGAUAUUUGCCAGGAAUGUAUCAAGUGAUAAACUUAUUGUACACAUUUUAAAAAAUGCAUUUUCAUAUUUUUAUUUGUAGAACAAACUAAUGGAAAGUGUUUUCACUUUAAGACCUCAACGUGAAUCCAUUUCUCCUCUUCUGUAUUCAGUGUCUAUGGAUAUGCAGCUGAGCAGGAGCUGUGACUACAUGUGAGUGUUUUUCUAAGGGAAGAUCAACGCCCUGUUCUUUAUAAACACCUCAGGAAAGGUCAACAUGUGGAAGUGCCAUAAACAAAGAACUGUGUCUAUGAUUGACAGGGUUGGCCCUAGGAAUAAUAACAACAUAUGCAAAAGAAUGCAGUGGUCACCCAUCAGAUAUUUAUAUAACAAGAUAAAUCCUAUCUUUUUUAUGACACACCGUAAGGCCAUGCCAGAAUGAUAAAAUACUCCAGUACCCCAUAGUAUCAGUAACUUAAAAAGUUCUCCCCUUUUAAUGGAAUAGACCUAAAUAAAUAUGAGGGUUGAUUUACAAUCACAGGUGCUAAACUGUACCAGUAGCAUCCAAUCAGCAAUUGGUUUUCAACAGGCUGCUACAAGUUAGAAAA